RNAcentral lists this ribosomal RNA (503 nucleotides) under uncultured bacterium. RNAcentral describes it as "partial 16S ribosomal RNA". It matches the Rfam family "Bacterial small subunit ribosomal RNA", at positions 30 to 523 of the family's 1533-position model. The record is from RNAcentral.
AUUGAACGCUGGCGACAGGCUUAACACAUGCAAGUCGAGCGGGGUGAUGGUGCUUGCACUAUCACUUAGCGGCGGACGGGUGAGUAAUGCUUAGGAAUCUGCCUAUUAGUGGGGGACAACAUCUCGAAAGGGAUGCUAAUACCGCAUACGUCCUACGGGAGAAAGCAGGGGAUCACUUGUGACCUUGCGCUAAUAGAUGAGCCUAAGUCGGAUUAGCUAGUUGGUGGGGUAAAGGCCUGCCAAGGCGACGAUCUGUAGCGGGUCUGAGAGGAUGAUCCGCCACACUGGGAGUGAGACACGGCCCAGACUCCUACGGGAGGCAGCAGUGGGGAAUAUGGGACAAUGGGGGGAACCCUGAUCCAGCCAUGCCGCGUGUGUGAAGAAGGCCUUAUGGUUGUAAAGCACUUUAAGCGAGGAGGAGGCUCUUUUGGUUAAUACCCAAGAUGAGUGGACGUUACUCGCAGAAUAAGCACCGGCUAACUCUGUGCCAGCCGCCGCGGUAA